This 63-nucleotide transfer RNA is filed under the name Frankliniella intonsa. Its description in RNAcentral is "tRNA-Glu". It matches the Rfam family "tRNA". From Rfam's summary of the family: Transfer RNA (tRNA) molecules are approximately 80 nucleotides in length. Lineage: Eukaryota; Metazoa; Arthropoda; Insecta; Thysanoptera; Thripidae. The record is from RNAcentral.
AUUUAUGUAGUUUAAAAAACGUUAUAUUUUCAAUAUAAAGUUAAUGUUUAUCAUUCAUAAAUA